GUGGGGAAUCUUGCGCAAUGGGCGAAAGCCUGACGCAGCCAUGCCGCGUGGAUGAUGAAGGUCUUAGGAUUGUAAAAUCCUUUCACCGGUGAAGAUAAUGACUGUAGCCGGAGAAGAAGCCCCGGCUAACUUCGUGCCAGCAGCCGCGGUAAUACGAAGGGGGCUAGCGUUGCUCGGAUUUACUGGGCGUAAAGGGCGCGUAGGCGGACAUUUAAGUCAGGGGUGAAAUCCCGGGGCUCAACCUCGGAACUGCCUUUGAUACUGGCGAUCUUGAGUGUGAGAGAGGUAUGUGGAACUCCGAGUGUAGAGGUGAAAUUCGUAGAUAUUCGGAAGAACACCAGUGGCGAAGGCGACAUACUGGCUCAUUACUGACGCUGAGGCGCGAAAGCGUGGGGAGCAAACAGGAUUAGAAACCCCAGUAGUCC
Molecule: ribosomal RNA, 425 nt
Filed under: uncultured bacterium
Lineage: Bacteria
Description: partial 16S ribosomal RNA
Rfam family: Bacterial small subunit ribosomal RNA
Source: RNAcentral